AUGAACGCUGGCGGCGUGCCUAAUCCCUGCCAGUCGCGCGAACAGACGAGGAGCUUGCUCCUCUGACGUUAGCGGCGGACGGGUGAGUAACACGUGGAUAACCUACCUAUAAGACUGGGAUAACUUCGGGAAACCGGAGCUAAUACCGGAUAAUAUAUUGAACCGCAUGGUUCAAUAGUGAAAGACGGUUUUGCUGUCACUUAUAGAUGGAUCCGCGCCGCAUUAGCUAGUUGGUAAGGUAACGGCUUACCAAGGCGACGAUGCGUAGCCGACCUGAGAGGGUGAUCGGCCACACUGGAACUGAGGCACGGUCCAGACUCCUACGGGAGACAGCAGUAGGGAAUCUUCCGCAAUGGGCGAAAGCCUGACGGAGCAACGCCGCGUGAGUGAUGAAGGUCUUCGGAUCGUAAAACUCUGUUAUUAGGGAAGAACAAAUGUGUAAGUAACUAUGCACGUCUUGACGGUACCUAAUCAGAAAGCCACGGCUAACUACGUG
RNAcentral lists this ribosomal RNA (496 nucleotides) under uncultured bacterium. Its description in RNAcentral is "partial 16S ribosomal RNA". It matches the Rfam family "Bacterial small subunit ribosomal RNA", at positions 29 to 507 of the family's 1533-position model. The record is from RNAcentral.